UACUAAACAUUGUUGAAUCGCAAUGCAUACUCAAUCCAGUUAUCGAUGUACUCGCGUGUCCAACAACUCAAACACGAGGAAACUGGAAUUAAUGAAAAUAUCCUAGUUGAUGAGGAGCUCACAAGAAGUUAUAUAGCUCUGUGGUAUCCUCGAGCUACAAGGAAUAAUACUCGGAGGUAGAUCAACAUUAAGGCUUGGACCGAUGUAUUGACC
RNAcentral lists this long non-coding RNA (213 nucleotides) under Hordeum vulgare. RNAcentral describes it as "long non-coding RNA (HVUL_LNC000864)". Lineage: Eukaryota; Viridiplantae; Streptophyta; Magnoliopsida; Poales; Poaceae. The record is from RNAcentral.